This is a long non-coding RNA of Oncorhynchus kisutch (coho salmon), 4287 nucleotides long. RefSeq lists it as uncharacterized. The record is from RefSeq and is a predicted model, not a curated record. NCBI's taxonomy places the organism in Eukaryota, Metazoa, Chordata, Actinopteri, Salmoniformes, Salmonidae. The transcript has 7 exons.
CGAUGAUGGCCGCCAUGAUAAACAAGAACUGCCAGAUACUUUGAUUCGUCAGACUAUGGCUCUAAAAUUAUAUUGGACUUUUGUGUUUCUUCUUAUUUUAGCAGGUCGAUCUUUUGCUGAAGAUGGGCAUUAUGAAAUGAAGGAGUUUCUGAAAAGGGAGCAUUCAUUGUCGAAGCUCUAUCAAGCUCCUCCCAUUAGGAAUUGAUGGGCGACGCCAUGGUAACCACAGAGCAGGUGCGCCUCACGUCUGACAUGCAGAGCAAGCAGAGGGCAGUGUGGAGCCGCAUUCCCUGUCACCUAAGGGCCUUGGAGUUACAAAUGCACUUUAAGAUUCAUAGCCAAGGAAUGAAGAAUCUUAAUGGGGAUGUACUGGCAAUUUGGUACACCAAGGAACACAUGCAGGAAGGACCUCUUCACAGGGCUGGGUGUGUUGGUGGACACGUACCCCAAUGAGGAAUAACACCUAGAGGUGUUGAUGUUCAAAUACUGGAGAGUUGAGACCAAAUCACGGACCCUGGACAGAGUGGAUUUCAGUUGUAACAAAAGGCAGUUUUAAUGAUGAGUCAAAAGAUAUCUUGUCCUGCAGUUUUACGUGCACGGACCUAGUUCAUAUAACUCAGUAAGGAGUCAGGUGAAAAAGGCGCUAUAUCAAAGGUUACAAUCAUUUUUAUACAUAGAAUAAAGUAGGUAGAGUCUUGUCAUGUCACUUUCUGAAUGGUCCUGAAGGGUCGGAGGUGGACCUGCUCUAGCCAGAGCAGGAGCCCCAUUGGUGCACAGCAGAGCCUUCUGCUCUGAGCUUCCGACCAGUAGAGGGGGGUUAGAUGUGUGUGUUUAUGCAAGGAGAUAUUUGUGUGUCAGGGGAUCUUGAAACAUCAGAGCUGAGGGGGGCAGUUUUAUGGCUGGGUGUAUGUGUUCUUGCGAUGGAAUGUCUUUGUUUCCUGGGGUGGUGAGACAACAGAGCUGAGGGGGGUAGUUUUAUUGCUGGGUGAGUGAGCUGGUUCCUGUUUUAGCAGGGGUAAGUAAGAUGACUUGAGUCAGGCGGUUUGGCUUGGCGCUGUAUAAUAUAUGAGCUAUGUGUAUGAAUGUUUACAUAUAUAUAUAUGACACAGGGGUGUUUAUGUAUGUGUCAUAUCCUGUCAAAUCUGGAUUAACAUGUCCUGAUCUUCCUGUGCUCCGAGAGGGGCUUUAGACAACUGACACCCAACACCUCUCACCUCAAUACAGACUUGCGUCAUACAAGCAAGCCAAUACAGUGGAAUAUUUAUGAGGUUUUGUUGGAACGCUUGCUUGGGCAGGGCUCACAGACCUGUGUAAAGGGCCUUGUCUUGUGUUGUGCUCCUCUGUUUUGUGCAUCCCUAUGGAGACAGGCGCAGAAGAUGAGGUACACCACACGCACACAGGUACCCAAUGUUUGGACCACCCACCUCUCAUACCAAAAGCCCCCCAUACCCCUCUCCUUAGCCACUCCCAUCAACCCCUAAUGAGCUUACUGCCCCAUGUUGUUGUUGUUUAUUACCCAGUAACAAUUCUUUGCACCUUGAGUAUAAUUAGCAUUUGAAUGACUAGGGGAUCAGGCAAAGGAAAAGGUACAUUGUACCAGCAGUAUUGUAUUGUUGUGACUGCUGUAUCUUUUACCUGUUCUCCUUCUCUCUCACUGCUUUCUGUGUCUCACUCCUUUAUUUUUUCACACCUUCCAACAGAGGAUCUACCCCUUUGUGUUGACGAUGGUGUCUGCACCGCCAUGCUGCGCAACCACAAUCACAACACUUUCAUCUUCAUCAGAUACGUCCGCUGCAGGCCCACGAUUAUGAUUGACAUGGAUGGAGAGACUGCCUGGACAUACCGGGGGUGCGGUUGCCUCAGGGCUACUACUUUGGAUCCUCUGCCAUCACAGGAGAUCUCUCUGUGGGUGAGAAUGAAGAGGGGUGGAGUAAUAUUGCCAUGUUCUUCACCAUCCUCUUCUCCAUGCUGGGUUGUUUCCUGCUCAUCGUGGUCGGUCUCAUCGUCUACAGCCACUGGAACGAGAACAGACAAACGCUUCUACUGAGAGGGAGGGAGGCCUGUCAUCAUAACCUCUAUUACUGCAGACUAAGGACAAAACUGCACUAAGACACUGAAAUGACUGACGAGACUGAAAUUAGACUCCUAAGACACUAGGCCACUGAAAUGACUGACAAGACUGAAAUGAGAACAAGACAGAGACACUGACCUCUCAAUGUAAACCAAUAUGCUGACAGACAGCGGUACCCCUGGGACAACACUAGUGAAUCCUGGGAAAGACUAAGCAGUAGAUGGAUGCAUUUAAACACUACAGCAACAAACCACACUGACCCCUGCCAUAAGUAGAGAUAGACUGAUACCUUUUUACUCUCUGUCCCUACCCCUACCCUCACCAACCAGGCCUUACUCUACACACAAAUGUACUGACAACGUGAAAAUUACCUGUUGUCAUAGUCCAGCGACUAAUUGUCCUCCAGGGGGGUAAUGGACAAAAUCUGAGAUGACACUAUAGCCAAAAAUACUUAUUUAGACAUGCCCUAGCUGCAUGGGAAAUUUGGUGUCUUUUAUCACAAAAUACACAAUUUCCCCCCUGCUGGCUACACUGGACUCUGCCAUUGCUGGUUUUGCUUUUGUCUUUUUGAGGGUCUGGAGAGAUUGAUUUAUAUUGACAGAUGAGAAUGUCAAAGGGACAAAGUAUCCGAUGUGUUCUUACUCGAACAGCCCACAUGACCAGCUCCCAUUAGCAGAACACUGGCAAUUGAUGUGUCACUUUUCUGCUUCACUCUAGAAGCAGCAUUAGGAUAGUUACAUGUAUGUCAUAUUUGACUCUAUGGCGCUUGCAAUCGAUGUAUGUCUUUGUGCAUUUCAAUUGGUUCAGACGGUCUCAUACUCUAUUGGGGGCUGCAGGUAGCCCAGUGGUUAGAGCGUUGGGCCAGUAACCAAAAGGUUGCUGGAUCAAGUCCCCAAGCUGAUGAGGUAAAAUUCUGUCGUUCUGCCCCAGUUAACCCACUGUUCCCCGGGCGCUGUGGAUGUUGAUUAAGGCAGCCCCCCGCACCUCUCUGAUUCAGAGGAGUUGUGUUAAAUGCUGAAGGCAUUGUUGGCUUUCCCUUAUUUUGUUAGCUUGAAAGAUGUAUGGUUGCAAAUGGGUUUUAUCAUUUCUUAGUUACUGUUACUUUAGGUAAUUGAGGUCAUUUUAACUCUGUCAUGAUUGUCACAAUUAGGUAGUUUGUUGAUUUUAUUGUGUAUAUGACUGUAUGAAAUGGAAAGGUGAACGAUCCCUCUCCCUUCAGGUUGCAUGUUCUUAAGGGAAUUUAUUUAAAUUAGUUGCCUGUUCUUUUUAUUGUUCCUACUACCGUUUUAACUUAGUCUACAUUGUCUGUGUCUUCUCAUUUUUGUGUGUGGUAUACUCAAAUUUGUAACUUAUGACAUGCCUCACGUUCUUGCACAUGCUAUCUAUAGUUUAUAUAUUACAGGGCGAGUCUGAGUUUGGGACUUUCCACAGAAAGUAUUGGGUUGGUUGAUACUGCGGAAGAGAGCACAAGUGAGGUUUUUCUGCAUCUCAUGUCUUCGUGUGGUGGAAAAAACAUUACUUUCAAGUCAGACACUUUGUUUCACUGUAAGUGUUAGUCUGUGCUCCCUUUGCUUGUCUGUACCGUUUUGCUUUGUGUCAUAUUACCAAAUAGCCCUCGCCAGUAGUAUGGAUUCCAGAACAAUGUGUACAUUGCCGUUUCUCCCAGAAUCAACCUCAGAAUGCAACCAAUAACAUUUCAGUAAUUUUAAAGGUUUAUAUAAUCCCUGCUCUGAAAGGGAUAGUUGGGAAAUGGGACACUGUAGAUGCAAUCCAUUAUUAUUCCACAUGUUCUGCAAUAUAAACUCACUGAGCCUCACACUGAACCCUGUGUUUUGUCUCCUAAUGAACAAUGUUUGAAGACCUUGGUGCACUGCUAUCAAUUACCAAUGCAGCCUUUUAUCCCUCGUUAAACCACCUUAUCUCAGUGUGGGGCAGCAGGUAGCCUAGCAGUUAGAGCAUUGGGCCAAUAACUGAAAGGUUGUUAGUUAGAAUCCUUGAGCCGACUAGGUAAAACAAAUGUCAUUGAGCAAGGCACUUAAACUUAAUUGCUCCCAGGUUGCUGUCAACGGGUGUCUCAGGAGUGGGCUAUGUGAAACAGGACAAAUAUAAGCGCCCCCUAUUUGACAUCUUUCCACUGAGGAACGUAAAAUAGGAGAUUCUUUACUAUACUGAUGGUACACUUGUUUUUGUUGCCAUUAAAGAACGACCUUUAGUGA